RNAcentral lists this long non-coding RNA (1036 nucleotides) under Anas platyrhynchos platyrhynchos (common mallard). RNAcentral describes it as "lncRNA (ENSAPLG00000017695.1)". The record is from RNAcentral. Lineage: Eukaryota; Metazoa; Chordata; Aves; Anseriformes; Anatidae.
AUUUGAAUUAAAGCUUUUAAAAUUAUUAUUAUUAUUAUUGAUCUUCAAAUUUUAAAUUGUAUUUUAUAGCUUUCAAUGAUUUUGGAGCUUUGAAUGAUUUUGGAGCUCGAGCUCCUUUUGUUUUAUUACUCUUUUCUGUAAAGAAUAGCUCUGAACUUCUGCUAGAGGGACAUAGGUUUGUCACAGCAAAGCUGGGUACGUGUAUUUCCACCCUUCACAUCCCUGGGGGUACAGAUUUCUAAAAUGACAAUGGGCACACCUGGCAGGGGACAAGUGACCUGCAGGCAGCCCCUGUGUCCUAGCAGAGGGGUCAGCCUGCAGCUUUUUGGGGGGGGAUGCUCAGAAGAUCUCUGCCUCCAGCAGAAUUUGCUAUAACAUCUCUAGCAGCACAUUUGGCUCUCAUCUUGCCAGAAUUAAACAGGUUAAACUCUCCAGAGGGGUUUCUGGGAAAAAACACAGACAAUGAAAGUCAAAGCCUAAUUCUUUUGAAUCUCAAAAAAGUCUUCUUAUUUCUGAACUCAGGGAAGCAGCAUAUGAGGUUUCUACUGUAUGAGAUUCAUGCUUGGAAAAGCUGUAAAAGUAAGGACAAGAGCUUGGUCCUCACCAAUUCAUAGCCCUCAGUCAUCAAAGAGAAAUGCUGGAUGGAGAACAAAGCCAAAUUUCCAGGUAUGUGCCUGCUAGACUAUCUGCACACUAAUGAUCUCUCUCUCUCACUUCCCUUCCAUAUAUUUAUGAAUGUUGCUCCUUGUUUGAUGAUUUUUUUCCAUUCGCUGUUGUCAGAUUGUCAAAACAGAUUGUGACUCUCAUAAAUGUAUUGCAAGUAAUUGCCAGAUAUUUUUUACAUGCUGUACUUGAGCUGCAGCUUAAUCAUUGAAGAUACUUCUGAAAUUUUGAUCAAACUUUUUCAUCGAUUUGAAAGCUGUUUGGACUGGAAGCAGAAAUUGUGAUACAUCUUAGUUUACAUCCAGGUCCCCAUUCCUGUUAAUGUGUACACUCAAUGUUCUGCAAUAAUAAAAUAUAAAUGAUUUUUAGGACA